GGAAGUUACAUCGCUGUGACUUCCAUUAGCUUGACGCCGGGUUGAUGCAGUAACAGUCAUCGAUUAAUGUGAAUGUCAGGCCGAGCACAUCGGCCACCAGGUCGGCGCACAUCACCAUCGGGUCAAGCAGGACGACAUCAAAUGUCGAACCAGACAGGUUGGAUUGAACAGGUGUAUUCACCAGACAGGUUGGAUUGAACAGGUGUAUACACCUGACAGGUUCGACAUUCGCUGCUGAUUAACCGAUAUGAGAGAGAAGUGAAUAUAACGAUGACACGCGAGGCUCGAAAAGGAUAAUUUCUGGAAUAUUUACAGUGAAAAUAUCGCGAGAGUACGUGGGAGCAAAGGGGGCUUUUCGAAAAGACUGAAGGCUGGUGGAAGCCCCCAAGUGUCCAUCCCAUUGCAGCUGUUGGUUACUGCCUGCUCGUGUCCGCUGUCCAGGUGCACCUGAGCUCAAGCGUGCCCAAGAUGUUACAGAUCCAGAGGGGGACCAGAUGUAACAUUAAGGAUACAGGCCUUAGAAAAUACACAAGAAGAAGGAUCCAUGGCAUAAAUGAUUUUAGCAUAUAAAUAUGCAAAAGAUGCAUUAAAAAAAGAUGUUAAUGUAGAAGUCAACUAUAGUGAGGCUGAGAUUAAAAGAUUAAUUAAAAGGGAAAUUGGAUUGGUCAGAAACAUGGGAUAAAGAAAGCAAGUGUAGGUACUAUUAUACAGUAGUAUUCAGCGGAAAGCAGGAGAAAUGAGAGAAAGCCAUAGGAAAGAAGAUGAUUUCAAGAAUGAGCUUUGAUCACAUUGGAUUGAACAGUAGCCUCUGAUGUUAAAGUACUCAGAGGUUUGUCUCUGGAAGACAAGGUGUGCAAACAUGGUGAAAACAGUGAGACUCCACAGUCUGCCACAGAUAUACUAAAAGUACUAGGUAUCUACUCACACAUGCUGCUACUUGUACUGUCAUGUAAUUGUUACUUUGGAUUUUUAAUGUUUUAUCUAAUUUGCAUUCUAAUGUUUUAUCUAUAUAUGUAUGCACUUUGAAUUGCUGUUGUGUAUGAAGAUGUGCUAUAUAAAUAACCUUGCCCAGCCUACACUGAAGUUGUUAAAAGAACAUAAUACUGGUGAAUGUGAGCUUUGUGGGGUAUAGGAAACAGUGGAGCAGGUUUUUCUGAGUUGUCCAGGGUUCUGGCUGAAGAGGGACUUUUUUAAAAGUAGGCUACACUUCAAAGCAAUGGCAUAAGAUUUAGUUUGAAAGAGAUUUUACAAAGGAGUUCCGGGGAUGCAGGGUACAGUGCAAUCUUUAGAUUCUUAGAGGGUACCGGAGUGAGUAGAUCAUACAACAUAAACAAAGUAGGGAUUUCAUUAUAGUAGUUGUAGAAAGGAGCCAUUCUGAUCAACAGAAGAAGAAUUUUUUUUUUUUAAUUGAACAAUUGGAUUUACAACAAAUGUGGCAAAUAUUAGUAUUCCAUAACAUUAAUAUAGAACAGGUGCAAGAGAGGAAGGAGAGAACAAUAAAAAUAAAUACAUAAAUAAAAUAAGG
Molecule: long non-coding RNA, 1525 nt
Organism: Monopterus albus (swamp eel)
Lineage: Eukaryota; Metazoa; Chordata; Actinopteri; Synbranchiformes; Synbranchidae
Exons: 3
Source: RefSeq, a predicted model, not a curated record